AGGCUAUAUUGUUCUUGCACCUGAGGGUCGAUUAUUGACUAUGAAACUGGUCUUUGGGAGGUCUUUAGCCUCUCUGGCAUAAUUCCUUGAAUGAUCCUAUCUCUCCGUUUAGGUAAGGAGAGGCCUCCAAAGACAGUAUCAAUCUCCCGAAUUGGUACUUAUCCACGUGUCGGGGGUCUCUUAUUUACCUUUGCCCAUUUUUAUGUCUUUCUUUCUCUUCGUCUCUCUUAUGGCCAGGGAGAUCGUCUCCAAGAUCGCAUCGCCUUAUCUCGC
Molecule: long non-coding RNA, 273 nt
Filed under: Olea europaea (common olive)
Lineage: Eukaryota; Viridiplantae; Streptophyta; Magnoliopsida; Lamiales; Oleaceae
Description: long non-coding RNA (OEUR_LNC005440)
Source: RNAcentral